AUUGAACGCUGGCGGCAUGCUUUACACAUGCCAGUCGAACGGUAACAGGCCUUCGGGUGCCGACGAGUGGCGAACGGGUGAGUAAUGCAUCGGAACGUACCCAGAGGUGGGGGAUAACGCAGCGAAAGCUGUGCUAAUACCGCAUGUGAUCUGAGGAUGAAAGCGGGGGACCGAGCAGCAAUGUUUGGCCUCGCGCCUUUGGAGCGGCCGAUGUCGGAUUAGCUAGUUGGUGGGGUAAAGGCCUACCAAGGCGACGAUCCGUAGCUGGUCUGAGAGGACGACCAGCCACACUGGGACUGAGACACGGCCCAGACUCCUACGGGAGGCAGCAGUGGGGAAUUUUGGACAAUGGGCGCAAGCCUGAUCCAGCAAUGCCGCGUGCGGGAAGAAGGCCUUCGGGUUGUAAACCGCUUUUGGCAGGAACGAAACGGUGUCCGCUAAUACCGGGCGCUAAUGACGGUACCUGCAGAAUAAGCACCGGCUAACUACGUG
RNAcentral lists this ribosomal RNA (492 nucleotides) under uncultured bacterium. Its description in RNAcentral is "partial 16S ribosomal RNA". It matches the Rfam family "Bacterial small subunit ribosomal RNA", at positions 29 to 507 of the family's 1533-position model. The record is from RNAcentral.